AUUCAUUAAUGUGUAAAAGACAAUAUUGCCCUUAACUUAUCUUCAACUCAUUUCUCUCUCUCUCUCGUGAAUCUCCGUCCGUCGUCUAUCGUCUCUGUUCAGAUCCGCUGUUUUCCGUUCAGAUCCGCCGUCUCCGUUCAGAUUCGCCGUCUCUGUCCUCCAGAUCCACCGUCUCUGUCCUGAACCGACGUCUUCGUCCAGAUUCGUUGUCUUCGUCCAGAUCCACGAAGCAAUCGAGAUCGAGACUCAAAACUUCAAAUGUUGAAUCCUCAGCAAGAAUCACAACCUGUAAGUAUUUUUUUCGGAUUUUGUUAUUUUGAUCUAAGAGAAAGAGUUAUCUAUUAAUAGUCUGAUCUAAGAGAAAGAUUUCUAAUAGUGAACAUUGAGUUUUUGAAAAUUUAUAACUCUUUAUAAAUCGAAGUUAUUUAGUAAUGUAAUUGACAUGUUCAGUUCCCGACACUCAUAAAAGAAGCAUAUGUUCAAGCUUAUAUGAGAGCCACAACUCUGCCAUCACACAUUUUCUUUGAUCUACAAUGUUAAUCAUCAAAUUCAUCAUUGUCUCUUGUUUUUUUUUCUAAAGUCUUAUUGACCAACCAUUGACAUUUUUUAGUUUCUUCUUGUGUCUUAGAUUGCAGAGUCUGUUUCUUUUAGCAGCGAUAAAAAGUAUGAUAUAACGCAAGUGAAGGCUCCACCUCAGCUGCAGAAAACGAUGUGUUAAGUAACUCAAUCAACUAAAAGACAAUUUAGAAAGGCUUAUAAGACAGUUUAUAAAGUUUGUUAAAUAAUUUAUAAGGUUUAUAAAUUCUGCACAAUUUUGAAGUUAACUACGAGGUAUUGUGAUACUUCAACAGAGCUACCAGACAAGCCAAAACUGAUCAUCCAACGUUCAAAUAUGAAUUAUGUUGAAAAUGAUUUUUUGUAUUUUAGGUAAGGAGGAAUUUAGUGAAAUUGAGAAUUCACACCUUGCGGAAGUGUUGUAGAACUAGCUAGAAAGAAUAACAUUCAAUUUUCAGGAGAACCUUAUGCAAAUAAGAUUAUUGAUGAAUGGGGGUAGAUCUAUGGUUCACUUUCUCAUAUCAACCAAUGGGGUUAGAUCUAUGAUUAUUGAUGAAUGUAAAUAAUUUAUAAAAGUUUAUAAAAAACGUUAUGAAAGCAUACAUUCAAUUUAUAAGGGUAUUAUAUGAGUUCCAUAGGUUUAUAAAUCAACUAAAAGAGUUUAUAACCAUUUAGAAAGCCUUAUAAAAUAAUUUAUAAUGGUUUGUAUAAUAAUUUAUAAGGGUUUCUAAGGGUACGUAAAUAAUGGUUUAUAAGGGUAUGUAAAUAAUAUAUACGGGUUUAUAAAAAUAAUUUAUUAAGUUUAUACACCAUUAUAAAAUAUUAUAAAAUGAUUUAUAAGGGAAUUUAAAAUUUCUGAAGCGGUGGAGUCUUGAUUGCUGUCCACAUGUACCUCAGAAUCUGCCACGUAUCAUCAUCUCCUUACAAAUCCUUAUAAGAAUAUGUAAAAUUAUUUGUAAGAGUUUAUAAACCAUUAAUAAAUGCAUAUAAAACAAGUUAUAAAAUCUAUAAACCAUUUAUAAAUGUUUAUAAGAAAGUUAUGAAAGUUUAUAAAUAAUUUAUAAGGGGUAUGUAUACUAUUAAUAAGAGUUUAUUAAAACUUUAUGAAAGAUUAUAUUCAAUUUAUAAGGGGUAUUAUAAGAGUUGUAUAGGUUUAUAAAUCAACUAAAAGAGUCUAUAACCAUUUAGAAAGCCUUAUAAAAUAAUUUAUAAUAGUUUGUAUAAUAAUGUAUACGGGUUUAUAAAAAUAAUUUAUAAAGUUUAUACACCAUUAUAAAGGAUUAUAAUAAAACAAUUUAUAAGGAUGUGUAAAAUUUCUGAAGCGGUGGAGCCGUGCUUGCUGUCCACAUGUGCCUUAGAAUCUGUCACGUAUCAUUUUACAAAGCCUUAUAAGGGUAUGUAAAAUUAUUUGUAAGAGUAUAUAAACCAUUAAUAAAGACAUAUAAAACAAGUUAUAAGAUCUAUAAAUCAUUUAUAAAUGUUUAUAAGAAAGUUAUGAAAGUUUAUAAAUAAUUUAUAAGAGGUAUGUAUACUAUUAAUAAGGGUUUAUAAAAACUUUAUGAAAGCCUUAUAAAACAAUUUAUAAUGGUUUGUAUAAUAAUAUAUAAGGGUUUACAAGAGUAUGUAAAUAUUUUAUAGGGGUUUAUAAAAAUAAUUUAUAAAGUUUAUACACCAUUAUUAAGGAUUAUAAAAUAAUUUAUAAAAGUAUGUAAAAUUUCUGAAGCGGUGGAGUCUUGCUUGCUGUUCUCAUGUGCCUCACAAUCUGCCACGUAUCAUCAUCUCUUUACAAAAGUAUAUAACUAUUUAUACAGGUUUAUAAAACUAUUUAAAAGGGUGUAUUAAACUAUUUACAAGAACAUAUAAGCUAUUUAUAAGUCUAUUGUUAAAAGUACAACUCGACGAUUUAUAAGUUUUUAUUAAGAAGUUUUUAAACAAGAGUUGAUUGUAUAUGUCUAUACAAAACACAUAAAUGUUUGAACUUGAGAAGUCUUGUGAGGAAUGCUAGGCAGAAUGAGUGUAAGAAACUCAAAGUGAUUUAUAAGCGUUUAUAAAUUUAUUUACAAUGGCUUAUAAGGUAAUUUUUCUAAAAUCCCUCCAAAAGACAAUCAACACAAAAAAGACAUAUCUGGUGAAAGAGCCACGUCCUUCAACAAGGGAUAUAUUGCUUUAACAUAGUCUGAGAACAUCAAGGCUUCUCCAUAUCUCACUCUUCUAUAAAAGAAACAAUUGAAACACAACUCACUUACAUGUCCAACUAAUAUCUUCAACUAUGCAACUACUAAAAGAGAGAUACAAUUGUUUUAGUAUAAGAGAUGUCUAAAGAAGAUGAGAGAGAAGAAUGUACUAAGAAGCCAACUCUGCAACUUUUAUAAAGCGUUAUAAAUACGUAAUUCUUUGAUAGCACAAACCACAUUCUUCUUCAGAGUCUCUCUUGCCUCUUCAAACAGCUCACCAACCUCGUAAAUUUUCAAAAUCUGAACAAAAGCCAGUCACAUAUUAUUUCUACGCAUCAGCAUUCACUUCCAAAAAUAAGAUUCAAAAAUAGUAUGCUUUCGUAACUCAACAAACUCAUCCUUCAUCUCCACUGCUUCUGUAGAUAUUAUACACAAAACAAGACAUAAAAAAUAAAUCUCACAAAGUAUAAAUAGAACGUUACACUACCAAAACACCAACGUUCCACCUCAUAUACUGCACAUACUAAAACAUUGCUAGUCAAACUACAAAUA
Long non-coding RNA from Brassica rapa (field mustard), 3281 nucleotides. RefSeq lists it as uncharacterized. The record is from RefSeq and is a predicted model, not a curated record. Lineage: Eukaryota; Viridiplantae; Streptophyta; Magnoliopsida; Brassicales; Brassicaceae.